AGUCCUGUAACUCAAUGGCAGAGAACUUGCCUUACAAGCAAGUGGUCGUAGGUUCGAUUCCUACCAGGACUACCA
RNAcentral lists this transfer RNA (75 nucleotides) under Phormidium sp. RNAcentral's name for it is "tRNA-Val". It matches the Rfam family "tRNA". Rfam says of the family: Transfer RNA (tRNA) molecules are approximately 80 nucleotides in length. Their secondary structure includes four short double-helical elements and three loops (D, anti-codon, and T loops). Lineage: Bacteria; Bacillati; Cyanobacteriota; Cyanophyceae; Oscillatoriales; Oscillatoriaceae. The record is from RNAcentral. RNAcentral also lists the same sequence under 3 other names.